RNAcentral lists this ribosomal RNA (497 nucleotides) under uncultured bacterium. RNAcentral's name for it is "partial 16S ribosomal RNA". It matches the Rfam family "Bacterial small subunit ribosomal RNA", at positions 28 to 507 of the family's 1533-position model. The record is from RNAcentral.
GAUGAACGCUGGCGGCGUGCCUAAUACAUGCCAGUCGAGCGAACGGACGAGAAGCUUGCUUCUCUGAUGUUAGCGGCGGACGGGUGAGUAACACGUGGAUAACCUACCUAUAAGACUGGGAUAACUUCGGGAAACCGGAGCUAAUACCGGAUGAUAUUUUGAACCGCAUGGUUCAAAAGUGAAAGACGGUCUUGCUGUCACUUGUAGAUGGAUCCGCGCUGCAUUAGCUAGUUGGUAAGGUAACGGCUUACCAAGGCAACGAUGCAUAGCCGACCUGAGAGGGUGAUCGGCCACACUGGAACUGAGACACGGUCCAGACUCCUACGGGAGGCAGCAGUAGGGAAUCUUCCGCAAUGGGCGAAAGCCUGACGGAGCAACGCCGCGUGAGUGAUGAAGGUCUUCGGAUCGUAAAACUCUGUUAUUAGGGAAGAACAUAUGUGUAAGUAACUGUGCACAUCUUGACGGUACCUAAUCAGAAAGCCACGGCUAACUACGUG